AUAUAACUAAGCGGAGGAAAAGAAACUAACAAGGAUUCUCCUAGUAACGGCGAGUGAAGCGAGAAAAGCUCAAGCUUGAAAUCUCCCUGGAGAUGACCUCCAGGGCGAAUUGUAGUCUAUAGAGGCCUAGUCAGCUCGGUUUGGCAAUCCAAGUCCCUUGGAAAAGGGCAGCAUGGAGGGUGAGACUCCCGUGAUUGAUGGUCAAACCAGGGCGUACGACUGGCUUUCAAAGAGUCGAGUUGCUUGGGAAUGCAGCUCAAAGCAGGUGGUAAAUUCCAUCUAAAGCUAAAUAUUGAUGCGAGACCGAUAGCGAACAAGUACCGUGAGG
This 328-nucleotide ribosomal RNA is filed under the name uncultured stramenopile. Its description in RNAcentral is "partial large subunit ribosomal RNA". It matches the Rfam family "Eukaryotic large subunit ribosomal RNA", at positions 40 to 358 of the family's 3401-position model. The record is from RNAcentral.